This 511-nucleotide long non-coding RNA is filed under the name Struthio camelus australis. RNAcentral describes it as "lncRNA (ENSSCUG00000010054.1)". The record is from RNAcentral. Lineage: Eukaryota; Metazoa; Chordata; Aves; Struthioniformes; Struthionidae.
ACUGAGGCUAUCUAAACUUCACCUAGAAUCCAUCAAACCAUCCUUGAAAUGGAUCGAGGCUUCCAUAGGACUGUCAGUGGGAACUGAGUGCAAAUCUGGAGAAUUAGAAGCAUGGAAAGAACAUGAAUGUGGAAUUUGGGGAUUAGUGAGGGUAAGGGUGACAACCAAGAUCAUCACCUCAACAUGCAAGAUUCUUUGUAGAAGAGGAACACUGCUGUAAAUCACCUUCCAGCUAAACAAAGUGCUGAUCAUUCUCUCGCUUUAAUCAACAUCACGUCCACAGUGCUCACGUGGGCAUUGGCAAGAAACAAACGAUCAGAGCAGCGUUGGAAGGGAUGUAAUCAGCAGCCUCUGAAGCAUAGUAAUGAAUUUUAAUCUGUUACAGAUUAACAGGUUUCUGUAAAACCACAGAAACUUGUUCUCUCCUCCAUCCUCUCUUUACCCAGAAAAGUUUUAAUGGGGGAGUUCUCAUUAACAUUCACAAAUAGAAGGAUUAUACACCUUUGCUGGA